Molecule: long non-coding RNA, 14970 nt
Filed under: Sarcophilus harrisii (Tasmanian devil)
Lineage: Eukaryota; Metazoa; Chordata; Mammalia; Dasyuromorphia; Dasyuridae
Description: lncRNA (ENSSHAG00000023847.1)
Source: RNAcentral
UCCCCAUUUUUUUCUUUGAAUCCUCAACACCCAGGAUAAUGCCUUGUUUUAACUGAAUUUAAAGGAUGUUCAAGAAAGAUAUAAUGGAAAGAUACUGGGUGUGGAUUCAGAAAACCUGGGCUAAAUCCCAACUUAGUUUCUGUAUGACCUUAGAGAAAUAAUUUCUCCUUUCUCAGACUCAGUUUCUUAGCUCCAAACUUAAGGGACUAAACUAAAUGUCUCCAAAGUUUCUCCCAGAUUUAAAUCCAUGAUCCUAUGAUCUCCUUCCUACCAGUCAGAUAAUAGAGGCUCCCUUAAGACCUUGUCAAUAAUUUGUGCAGUACAAUGGGGCAGGAUCCUGGACUGGACAUCCAGAGAUCUGUGUCAUGUUCUAUCUCUGCCACAAACUGAUGCUGGAUAAUCCUGGUCAAGUUACUUGCCCUCUUCUAAAUUCAUGUUCCUUAUCUGUAAAAUAGGGAUAAUGCUAUCUAUCCCAGAGAGUGUUUAUGAGCAUUUGAUAAGGUACUGGAUGGGAAAGUGUUUUCAAAAUGAUUAGUUCUAUGCAAGUAUAAAAUAAUAUUGUUGUCUAAAUCUAGGUUUUCCUAAAAUGAAAGGCAGUGUGGUAUAGGGAAGAGUUCUAUACUAGAAAAUUGAAGACCUGGGAUUGAUUCCAAGCUCUGACAUUUAUUAACUGGGAAAGUCACUUAAAUCUUCUGUGCCUCCUUUACCUUACAUAAAAUGGACAUAAUUAUAAGUCGCUAUCUCCUUAGCUUUGAAAAACAAUUCACAAGUAUUAUAUCUCAUUUGCUCCUCACAACAGCCCUGGGGUUGGGGGGUAAGAAGCUAGUAUUAUUCCAGAAGAGCUUCCUUUGUAUCCCCAGCAGUCACCACAAUGUUUCAGCUGUUUAGUCAUGUCUGAUUCUUUAGGGUUUUCUUUGUAAAAUGGUUUACCAUUCCUUUUUCCAGCUCAUUUUUACAAAUGAGGAAAGUAAGGCAAAGUGGGAUUAAGUGACUUGCCCAGAGUCGCACAGCAAGUGUCUGAACAUCAGUCUUCCUGAUUCCAGGUUCCCCACUCUACAGCUAUACCUACUUGCCCUGAUUGACUGAUUUGACCAAGGUCAAGAAUCAACAGUCUAUAUUUGAUGAAAGAUUUAAAUUCACAUCUUCUUGACUCCAAGUCUAUAAUGUUGUACUCCACCUCACAAAUAUUGGGGAGAAGUGAAGACAGCACUGAUUUUGAAAUUAGAAAAUCUAGUUUUAAAUCACAACUCAGCCAUUUGCUACCUGAGUAAUCUUGGACAAAUCUCUUAAUCUCUGAUGCUAGCUACCUCAUUUAUAAAGUGAGGGGAGUUUAUGGAUGAUACCUAAGUCCCUUCUGGUUCUGAAUGUCUGAUACCACUUUAUAUAAUCAUGGAGAAAGGAGGAUCUGAACAGCUUAAGAUGGUAUAGAAACAUCAACUAAUAUUACUUGGGGGAUAUGGUAUGGUCAAUUCCUUUUGAUGAAGGACAUUAGGAGUUUGCUCUAACAACACUCUAUGGAUACCCAGUAUCACAUAAUCUUGCCAUUAUUAUCUCCUUGGCCAGAUAUCUGCACACUGGCUAGAGCAUGACAUCUCCCAUUUCCAAAAUGCUUUGGAGAAAUCAUUCCCUAUUUUCAUGGGACGAGCUUGGAAUCCAUUCCUCACAAUCUCCUGCCUACGUGGGAGCUAUAAAAUGCUUGCAGACUCUCCACUAUGACUCCUCUGGGGAUAUGGCAGCAAGGGCAACCCACGGGAUGGGUGUGUGCUAGGAUAUAAAGUUGAUUUUCUAGGAAAGCAGCUCAAUGACACAUCACAACAGCUCCACUCUCUCUCUCUCUCUUUUUGCCUCCACACUGUGAAAUAAAUGCAUCUCUUAAGUACCUUUUAAACCAUCCAGCAAAUGAGUUUCUACAUUCUGGGAAUGACAAUUAAGGGUGAAAAUUGUUGGAAGUCAGUUAACAUAGAUGAUCCUUGAAGACAGCUCUUCCAAAUAAUCUCCAAGUUUUGACAGUCUGAAGUCCAAGGCAAAUUGGAGUCAGUCUUGACCAGGCACAGUGAUAACCAAUAUAAGCUCAGUGGCCAUCCCCAUAGGUUACAAUAUUUGUGCCCUUUUUGCAAGACUGUUUUUAUUGUGCUUUGUUAUAAGAGAGAAAUAUGACAAAGCCAGUUAUGGGAUUUGAGAUUCAAAAAAUCUCAGAAUAAGAAACCAUCUGAGUUAAUUUGUAUCUGACUAACAGUUCCCUGCAGAACACCCCCAACUAGGGACAUUUUCUUAAAGUAAUGGAUUAUUCACUGCCUACCAAGGCAACCCACUCCUAAUUUGGGUAGCUCUUAUUAUUAGAAAGUAUUGGGAAAGCUGGAUGCUACAGGGGUUAGAGCACCAAACCUAGAAUUCAAAUCUGGCCUCAAACAUGUGACACUUAAUCGCUAUGUGAUCUUGUGUGAGUCACUUAACUCUGAUUGUCUCAGAAAAAAAAGUCUCUGAAAUCUCCACCCAUUGAUCCUACUUCUGCUCUCAAUGACUGUACUUGAGUACAGUUAUCUUGAGCUUCCAAAGUAAAAAAAAUUUCAGAAUCUCAGCAUUGAAAGGAACUUGAGAGUUAACUUGUAGCCUAGGUACAUCUGCAAGAAGAGAGCUCUGGGAUAAUAAGGAUGGAUUGAAAGAACUGCUAAACAUUUUCAUCAAGUGACCCAUCUCUGUCUCGUCUCACUCAGCAGGGAUCUGCAGUGAGAACAUGAGAAUCACCAAAUUUCAGGGUUGGAAGGGUCCUCAGGCCAUCCAGAUGAAUUUGAGGAUGACCAAGAAUCUUCUCUCCAGCAUCCCUAGCAAGUGGUCAUUCAGCAGUGCUUAAAGACUGAAGAUGAAGGGGAACUCACUGUCCCUACAGUAGCCUAUUCCCUUUUAUUCAGAAGUUUUUUCUCCAUAUCAAUCCUAAAUUCACUUCUCUUCUAUGACAAAAGGGUCUUUUCUUAAUCAGGUAAAGUAUCUCUGAUCUUUUGCUAUUUCAACACAAUCUAAGAAUUCUGAAGACUUGGUUAUGUAAAUGCAGAAAGAUUUAUUUUUACCCAGUUUCUUGUGAACAAAGGAUAAAGUACCCUUUCAGAAACAGCACCAAGCCUUUGGGAUAUGCAGAUGGCCCAGGAGAAUUAUACAUGCAAUCCCUUUACUUUUGCCCUCCAUAGAAGGGAAGGGAAUUAUGGGUGAUGUGGUAGAGUAGAGACAGUUUUCGAUUUGGAGUCAGAGGAACUGUCUGAUUUGUUGUUUAUUCCAUGUGUUGUUAAAUAAGUCACUGAAUUUCAGUUUCUUCAUCUGUAAAAUCAAGUGAAUCAACAAGAUUAUCAAUCUUAGAGUCCCUUCUAACUCCACAUCUGUGAUUCUAUGAUCUUAAAUGUCUUCUAUCUCUAAAUCUGUGUCCUUUGAAUUAAUUUUUAGGAACAUCAUUGUUCAUUUUUUUUGGAAGUCCUCAGAUGGGCCUUUCUAUAUCAAGUUCACUUCCUCCUUUCAAAGAUCAUAUUAGAAAUACAGUAUCUAUUUAUCCCUAUCCCUCAAGCAGAGAUGAAACUUAGAACUUUUGUACCUGAGACAAGUACCCAAGCCACCAGCUCCUCAGUGGACAGGAAAGACAGAGACUACCCUUCCAGGGGAAUGCCAGAGACCUGGGAACUCUGGUGCCCAUGGCUGGAAACACCUAGGUACCAUAAGACUGUUGGUGGGGAGAUGUCUAUCCCACUAGGAUUUGGGCAAAGUAGUUUUUUGGUCUAAGUUUGCAGGUUCUUCCUUCAUACAACGGGAAUCGGGCCAUCUGGUACCUCCCUGUUUUAUUUCAGAAUCAUAGUAACUAUGUGCCAGUAGUUCUUGUUUCUUCACACUAGAAAUCCAAGGAGAUUACUGGGUGGGUGGAGCUAGCUUCUUUGUAGCCAAAAAUUUGGGGGGAGGGAAAAGAAAAAGUGGUUGAAAUCACUCCCCACAAUUCCCCCUCCUCAAAAUACCACAGUAGAGCUAUAAGGAACCUUAGGGCAAAGGCUAGCCAUAGCGCCAUUUUAAGCUCAUCACUAUUCCCCUUGGUAAGAAAGUUUGAGAAGCUGGAGAUGGCAAAUGCUUUAAAGGAAAAAAUAGUUCAAAGGAUGGGGGAAGCAGAGACAAAUUCACGAAGGGAUGGUUCUUCAGCAGGGACUCGGGAUUCUGACUGACUCUCUUUCCUGCCUCAUUCCACCUGAAGUUCCUUUUUCUCCAAAAUUCUUCUAUCAGAGUGAACAAUGUUGGUAAGUAGUCCCUUAGUCAUAGACCCGGGGAAGGGUUCCCCCUCUAUGGAGUAACUUAGGUUUUGUCCUUGCACCUUAGGGCAAUUAGAAAAUACAGUGAAUAGAAUACUGAAAAUCAAGCAGACCUGAAGUUAAAUCCCAUCUUAUACUUUUGCUGGCUGGGUAACCCUAGGCAAGUCACUUAAUCACUCUCUUCCUCAGUUUCCUCAUCUAUAAAAUAAGUAUAAUAAUAGCAUCAAUCUCCCAGGUUGUUGUGUGGACAAAAUGAGAUAAGACAAAACACUUUAGAAACCUUAAAGCUCUAUGUAAAUGCUAAUCAUCAUCAUCAUCAUUAUUAUUACCACAGAGCUUUUUUCUUCAUGACCCAUAAGGCAGAAAGAGUAUUCAUUCUAGAUUCAAAGAACCAUGGUCCAAAUCCUAUCCCUGAUGCUUACUUCCUGGGUGACUCCAGGCAAGUAAUUUAUCCUCUGGUCUUCAAUUUCUUCAUCUAUAAAAUGAGGGAAUUGUUCUUUAGGGUCUUUGAGCUCAUAUCCAGCUCUAUGAACCUAUGAUCCAUUAAGCUAAUCUGACUGCCCAACUCCAUGGCUCUGGGAUACAGAAGAUAUGAAAAGCUGGGAAGGACACAAAUUUUAGAUGCCCAACAAGGGACGGACCUCAAGCCAGAUCUAAGUUGUGAUCUCCUUUCUGUGUUUUGAGUGGUUAGUUCUUAGAACAUCAAGGAGCCUGACUGGUUGAAUCUUAACCAUAGUUGUGCCUCUAUCUCCGACUCAGGUUUUGCCAAAUAGUUGUAAUCUCAGCACUCUAUCCUUCUGGAAUAAGGAGAAGCUGGAGCCUAGGGUCUGAGUGAUCACUGGCAGUUCUUUUCACAGGUACAGAUUGUAAUUCCUUUCUGACUUGCUGCAGAUGAUCUUCACAAUAUUCUGGAGCCAACAGAAGUUAUCGAUCCUAUGAUAAGCUUCUUGGGACCCAAUCAAGUCCCUCCUCAGACAAUGGACUGGUACAAUCCAUCAUGGGACCCACACCUCAAAGCCUGCAAAGUUCUGAAUGAGCUGCCAGAGAUACUCCUCAACUGGCUAUGCCUUUGAGACUCUGAGGUCACUUCUGUACUUUGAAUAGGUUUCAGAGACGAGUCUGGUAGAGAAUCAUCCAUUUACUUAAGUGAAAACUGGAGUUAUUUUAGUCUACCUAAAGAGGUCUCAAUUUAAGUGAUCAUAUCUAAGUACUAAUAGUCUCCCAAGGGCAAUGUUCCCAGUUAUCAGUGUGGCUUACUGUUUGGUGCAGGAGAAGGGGGAGGGAAAACUAUUGGGAUAAUGGAGAAUAGCUCACAUCAUCUUACUUGGGAGUCUAGAAGUUGGGGAGACUGAGGAGAUGCAUGGUGAGUGAAACUAGAAUGUAGAUCCCAAAUCUUGGGCUUGACUAAUAGGAAUGUGGCAUAAUGGACAUGGCACUGGACAUGGAGUUGGAAAGACUGGGUUCAAAUACUUCCCUGGACACUUAUUAGCUGUGUGAUUGUGCACUCUUCACUUUAUCUCUCUGGACUUCAGUUUACUCGUCUAGAAAAUGACAGGAUUGGAGCCAUGAUCCCUGUUGUUCCUUCCAAUCUUAAAUCUAUAAUCUUAUGAAUUUGUGGAAAGAGAAAUAAAACAAUGAAAGCAAUUCCAAUGGGAUGGCCUUCUUUUCUUCUCAUUCUCAGGAAAUCAAAGGUUCUGCCCAAUUGGGGAAUUGAUAUUUUUUUUUAACUUUCCAUAGGAAAUCAAUAGCAAGAAAAUCAAUUGUAGGGCAGCUAGGGGGUGCAGAGGAUAGAGCACCAGCCCUGAAAUCAGGAAGAUCUGGGUUUAAAUUUGAUCUCACACAUUUAAUGCUUCCUAGCUAUGUGACCCUGGGCAAGUCACUUAACUUGCUUCAGCCCCCUAAAAAAUCAAUUGUGAUAUCAAUAGAGAAGGGGAUGGUAAAGGUUAAUCAUUUCAAGAAACAUUAACAGAGUCAUCCUGUAGGGGGCUUGAAGACAGGAGAAAUCUAGUUUGAAUGAAUGAUUUUUUAAAAAGUAUUUAUUAAACACUUAAUAUGUGCUAAGCGUUGUGCUAAAUACCAGGGAUAAAAGCAGAAAAGUCCUUUAGUCUUUGCUCUCAAGGAGCUCGCAUUCUUAUGUUUGAAUCCAAGACUUUCUAGCUAUGUGAUUGUAGGUGAGUCAUUUAAGCUCUUUAGACCCAAGUGUCAUGUUUUACUUCACUCAUACUUCAUUCCAGACACCUUUCCUUUCUUUCUCUAUUCAGAAAACCUCCUUCUUGAUAUCUACCUGUUUUCCAAUGCAUCUACAUGUGUUGUGUUCUUCCAUUACAAUGUAAGCACCUUGAGCGCAAGAAUAUCUUGUUUAUAUUUGUAUUCCUAUAUUUAGCUCACUGCUUUAUAUAUUUUAAGUGCUUACUAAAUGUUCUAUCUCCAUCUAUUUAAUAAUCUAUAUCUUUCUAUCUAAUAAUCUAUCAAUCUGUUUAAUAAUAUAUCACCAUCAACCUCUUUAUCUGUCUAAUUAUCCAUUAGUCUUUUCAACUAUCUCUCUAAUGAUCUAUGUCUAUCUAAAAAUCUACUGAUCUCGAACAAUCUAUAUGUGUCUAUCCAUCCAUCUACUAGCCAGCUAGCUAGCUGUCGGUCCUAUCUAUUUAGUAAUUAUCUAUGCCAGUCUAUCUGUCUAAUUAUUCAUCUGUUUGUCUACCUAAUAAUCAGAAAGUCUACUUAAAUAGCUAUCUAUCAAAAGAGAAUUAAUCAAUAAUUUAUCAAUAAUUCACUAUGUGUCAGGAACUAUACUAGACUCUGAGGUUGUAAAGAUAGACAUGAAAAAAGCCUUACCCUUAAGAAGCUUAGAUUCUGCCAGAAAACACAACAUAUACAUCUAUACAUAUCUAAAAUAAGUUCAUUCAAAAUAUACACAAAAUUAGUACAAAUAUAUUUUGAGAGGGAAGCACUAGCAGCUGGAUAGGAUCAGAAUGUACAGCAAUGGGGAACAGAAAGUGUGAUCCACGAGUGCCCCAAAGUACUGGUAUAUCCUAGGGCAAGAAUUGCCACUGACCUUUUCCCUUUCCCCUAUGGUGAUUGAAAACUUGGAAGUAGCCUGUCCAAUGAGAAUGUGAGUGAAUUGACUGUCUUGGAAUUGUGAGGGAGGGAGAUCCUUUGGGGGAAAGUUCAAUGGCAACGCUUAGGUAUCCUGGAAGAACCAGCUAACUCUCCAUUCAUGAUUACACUGUAGGUACAGACCUUGUUAUCUUAUUGUGAAAGGCACAUGAAAUAAUGUGUUCAGAUCUACAGAUCUACAGCUUACAGAGAUUUUAGGAACCAUCUAAUUCAAUUCUCUGUGUUUACAUAUGAGAAAACUGAGUUUAUAUAUGAGGUAAGGGCAACAACUUGCCUAUGGUAAAAGCAGUAAGCAGCAGGGCUAGCUUGAACUCAAAUUCUCUCACAGCACCUUCAAACACCAUGCAAAUGAAAUAAUAUUUGUGAAGCACUUAAUACAGCACUUGGUAUAUAGUAGGCAUUUAAUAAAUGUUUAUCUUCUUCCUUCUUCUUCCCACAUAAAUGUUAGUUAUUAAUAUGGCAGUUGAAGCUCUGUAGCUAUUUUUUUCUGCCAUAGCAAUUUAGGAUUCCUAAAUCCUGAUUUCCAGCCAGGAAAAAAAAAAGACCAAAAAAAAUUGGACCUUGGAAGGCACACUUGGGGGAAGGAUGAAGGCAAAGAUUGAUAAAAUGCAUAUGGAACUGCUCCAUGUCCUUGGUUAAGCAAUUUAGAGAAUGAAAUUCCCUUAGGGGAAUGGAAAACUUUCCAAUCAAGUUGACUACUGAUCCCAAGUCAAAUAAAUUGAAAAUCUUUUCAGAGAUUAACUUGCUUCUCCUCACAAGAAACUGACAAGGAAACUCCUUGGGGAAUCAGACAUAUUUAUCUUAUCUAUAAGCAAAACAGUUUCUAAAGGAUGGCCAGCAAGAUGACUGUGCCCAAUAGAUGUUCUAUAAGUGCCUAGGGAUGGAUUGGUGACGACAAUCAAAAGCCUUCCCUAUUUGAGUAGUCCUGAUCUAAUCCCCUAUCUCUAUCUGAUCGUCAGACAUUAUUUUCUCUCUCUGAUGGAUGGAUUGCUCUUAGCAUUUAGAAUUGUAAGGGGCCUGAGAGCUUCCUCAUUUUACAGAAGGGGAAAUGGUUUCAGAGAGGCUGUGUCUCACUCAAGGUUGUACAAGUAAGAAGAAGUAAAGCCAGUUUUCAAUACCAGGUCUUCCAAUGCAGAAAGUAGCAACUACAGAUUUUGGCCCUCUUUGUGUCCAGAUCAAACUCUGAGGUCAUUUUAGGUCAUACACUAUUAGCCCAAACAAGAUGAGCCUUCACCUUUCCCUAGUCCUUUUCUACUGCUCCUUUCUCUUCUGUCUCCAAUUCUUUUCCCUCUUCCUCUUGUGUCUUGGGAUCCCAUAAACUCUGAGAUUUCGUGACUCUGUUUCUGCUUGGAUGCCUAGAACCAAAGAAUAAUCAUUAAUGGUUCCAAGUCAUCUUGGAAGAAGACCUCUACAAGAAUACAUACUAUGGCUUUGGAAUACAAUAAUGAGUUGGUUAAAAACAGAGAUAUCAUGUUCAUCAAAUUUAUAGAUGACACAAAGCUGGAAGGAAUGUGUCAUAGACAGGAUAAGAAUCCCAAAAGAUCUCCACAGGCUAGAAGCAGGACCAAACAGAAUAAGAUGUAAUUGAAUAGAAUUAAAAUUAAAGGCUUGCCUUUAGAUUGAAAAGAAAAUGCCUUCCCAUUUGCAAAAUGGUGAAAGCAUGGCAAAAUAGUGAGUUAUCUGAAAAAAAUCUAGGAAUUCCUUGAUGUGGAUUUAUAGCGAGGUAUGGAAGCCCCCAGACUGAUGAGAUGUUAGGCUGUAUUUAGAGACAUAGUUUCAGAACUAGGGAUAUGACAGUAAAAUAGUAUUCUUUCCUAGCCACACUACCUUUGGAACAUUAUGCUUCAUUUUGAACACUAAAUUUUAGGGGCAGUAUUGAUCAAUUGGAGAAUGACAACCAGAGCAAUGAAGGCACCAAGUUUAUGACUUAAGAAGAUCAUUUGGAGGAAUAUUUAGCCUGGAGAAGACUCAUGGGUAGCAUGAUAACUGCCUUCCAAAAUGUGAGGAGUUGUCAUGUGAAAGAAGGAUUAGAUUUGUUCAGCUUGGCCCCUGAGGGAAGAACUAGGAACAAAGAGUAGAAGUUGCUAAAAGGCACAUUUAGACUUGAUGUCAGGAAAAUUUUCCAAGCCCCAAAAUAGAAUGGGUUGCUUUGGGAGGGAGGGAGUUUCAGCAUCGUUGAGUCCUUUAAGGAAAAGCUGGAUGGCCACAUGAGAAGGAUGCCCCAAUGGGGAUUCUUCUUCAGGUACCAGUAAGAUUUCAUAGCUUCUAAAGUGCUUUCCAACGCUGAGACUCAGUGAUUCUGAGGUUUGGUGGUUUUUGCAUUAAAUCAAAUACACUCUUCAUUUGGAAAGAAGUUGUUAAAUUGGACCAAUUGCCUUCACAAGUUGCUGGCAAGCCAGUUGGCUUUUGGCUCCCUGCCUUGGCUGGCUUGGGGUUCUUUCCUUCCAGCUAAAACAUCAGGGACAGCCUCACCCCUUGUACCUUCCAUUGCCCUCCACUAGGACUUCCUAGUAAGACUCUGAUACUGACCAGUUGAAUGACCUUAGCCAAGUCAUUUCUCCUUAUUAGAGUUUUGGCUUUUUUUAUAUGUAAAACAAGGCAUUGAAUUAGAAAAAAAAUUUGAUUGUCCAACAUAGGUCUGCCAGCCAGAUGCAGCACAGCCUGCCUGAUUUCAGGAUACAGUUUGAGAUUUUUAGUAAAAAUAUCAUUGCAUAUGUGUGGAUGGGGACCAUAGGUUAUUAAAUAGCCUGUCCAACUGUAACUUGUGUUAUAUAUAGAUGAUUUUUCUUAAGUGUAAUCCUGGAGAACUCACAAUUGUGUUUUUAAAAUACCACAUAAAUACAUACACAUAUGUUUUUUGAUUCACUAUUGAACAAUUUGUCUGUUGUCCAGUGAUGAUAUGUUCUAUGGCUCAGUUAUCCUCAAUAAACUCAAUUAUGAUCACAAAUGAUGAGGCCUCUUCUAGUCUAAUCUCUUCAUUUUAGAGAAGAAAUAGAAGCUCAGAAGGUUGGAGGACUUCCUCAAGGUCAGUUGGGGUUCAAACUCAAGUUAACUUCAACUCUAGUGCCACAUUAAACCAUUCUAAUAUUCACUCGAUCUAACUCUCAGAAUUGCUGUGAAAAAGCUUUUUGUUAAUUUUUCAGUGUUGUAGAAAUUCAUCAGUAAGCAUUUAUUAAAUGCUUAAUAAAUGUUAGGAAUUGUGCUAAAUGCUGAGGAUACAAAGAAAAAUCAAAUUUCAAAGUUUGUUGAGCAUGUGGACUUGGCCAGGAGUAAGGUUCAUGGUCCUAGUGAAUGUCAGGGCAAGGGAAAAGGAAUUAGACUAGGUUUGCCCCACAGUCUAGUUUGGGAAUCAGUAAAAAUGUAGUAGAGACAUGCGAAAUAUCUAAUGCAAUAAUCUAUGGAAUGUCUUAAGAACAGGGACUUUUUUUUUGCUUCAGUUUGUAUUCUCAGCUCUUAGCACAAUACUGGUGCAUAGUAGGUACUCAAUAAAUAAUUGCUGACUUGCUGAUGGUCUGGAAAUUGAUAUCCUCAUCUUGUCUUUAUUCCACAGAUGUAGCCUAUUUAUCCUAGUCUAUAUUUACCCAAAAACACAUUGAACAUGCAACCUGCAAAGUUUUCCUUGCCCAUGCAUACAAAGGUAGCAUAAGAUAGAGAGGUAAUACUAAUAAUAUUUAGUAUUUACAUAGUACUUCAGGUUUGCAAAGCAUCUUACAAAGUUGUGAUCCUCCCAAUAACUCUGUGAAACAGAUGUUAUUAUUGUGAGGUGACUGAAUUUGCAGACAGCUAUAUUUAGACUUGCUGUCAAUCAAAGACUUCUUAACAAGGAGAGCUAUUUCCAAAUAGAAAGGGCUACAUUGUGGAUUAACCUUCAUUAGAGCUCUUAAAAUAAGUUGGAUGAUCCUAUUCUGGGUGUGUUAUGCCAGGCAUUCUUUUUCCAAUGUGAGUUGGGUAAGUUGGUUGCUAAAGUCCCUCAACUUGGAGAUUUUGUGAGUUGAACUUGGAUAGGUCACUCUAUCUCUUGGACAAAGUUGAUGACGUUGCAAAUUGAGAGACCCUUUUCUGCUAUUGUCUUCAAAAAAAAAUCAAAUUUAUGAUUUAUUCAUAAAAUUUAUAAAACACUUUACUCACAAUAGUCUCCAAAGGAAUAUGUGCUCAGAAUUACUAUUCUUAUUUUUACAAAUGAGGAAUCUGAGAGUUAGAAAGGUGAAGUGAGAUAGCACAGUGAAAAAUAGAGAAAUUAGGACUCAAUCCUAGAUAUUCCUGACUUUGACUCCAUUGUUUUUUCACUAUAUCAGUCUUCCUAGAUCAAAAUGCUCUUCUCUAGUCAAAACUCCCCCAUGUAUGUUUUCUCUCCUUAUUGGACUGUAAGUUCCUUGAAGGAAUGGGUUAUUUUCUUUUUUACCAGGAACAUAGUAAGUACUAAACAACUGCUUUUCAUUGAUUUACUAUUUAAUUAUUCAUAAUUCAUUCAUAUCACACUGUGCACCAUCAAAUGAAGGAAAACGUCUCUCACAUUUCUUUCUGGACACCAACUUCCUCCAGGGAAGGUUUCUGACAGAGAAGAAACUAACAAGAAAAAUCAGCAGAGGAUAGUAUUUCUUUUCUGCCUUUUUAGGUCUAAAAUUUGGCCCAUUUAGAGUCCUAAGGUUGUGAUACCUUCCUUACUGAUUCCAAAGUGGUGUAGCCCUAUGAAUUUGGUAGCCCUACCUCCUCUAUGAAGUCUUCCUUCACUAAGAAGUUACCAAGGAUCUCUCCUUUCUCUGACCUUAGUUAACAGUUACCACGUGAACCACAUGAAAUUGUAAGCCUCUGUGUAAUGCUUUCUCUGUAUUAACCUCACCUGCCCAGCUAUGGUGUGGGUGCCUUGAGGGUAGCUUUAAGGGAUUAUGAUGACUCUUUAAGAGACUGUAGUGAAGCCCAAAGAGAUUGUAAUUUGCCCAGAGUCCCCACAGCUAGUGAUUGUUUGAAGAAGGAUUCACAAACCUAGGUGAAUCUGAUUCCAAGGUUUUGGAUUCCAAAACUUAGGUUUUCUGAUUCCAAAUCUUCUUUUUCUACUUUGAUUUUCUUCCAUUUAUUCCAUUUAUAUAAAUGCAAGUUUUCUUCACGUUUUUAAUUUCUUUAAAUACAUAUGCCAAUGGGACCUCUGGGUUAAGGGAUAUAUAUUUUAAUAGUUUUUAGGCAUUCCAAAUUAUUUUCUAGAAUUACUGGACCAAUUCACAGUUCCACUAAUAGGGUAAUAAUAUGCUUGUCUUCCUAUAGCCCCCUAACAUUAUUUUCAUCUUUUGACAUCUUUGCUAAUUUUCAAGGUAUCGGGGAACUCUACGACUAAUAUAUAGUUUUCUUAUCAUUAAUUAUAUGGAGCAAUCUUUACUAUGAUUUUUAAUAGUUUGUAAUUCUUUUGAGGAUUUUUAAAAAUCUUUUAGCCAACUAUUCAUUAGAGGAAUGGCUCUUGGUCUUAUAUAUUUGUCUUAAUUUUGGAAAUGUAUUUUUAACAGAAUUUUAUCACAAGCAUUCCAUGGAUUUUGCAGAUACCACUACUGGGAACUAGUUUGUCACUAUUCCAAUGCCAUUGACACUUCCUCCAUGGUCUCCUCCGUUCUUGCCUCCAGCCCAGCUAUCCAUGCCCAACUUAAAUUCAUAAUGUAUUCUGAUCUUACCAUUGAUAAGGAGUCUCUAGGCAGAGCUACUUUCCAGUUAUUUGCUGACUAAGGUCCAAAGACAGCAGGAAACUUCUGUUCUCUGAGCACUGAAUAGAAGGUAUUUGGUUGCAAGAGGUGUUGCUUUUAUAGAAUCAUUAGUGGUUUGUGUACUUACUAUCAUGGUGAUCUCAUAUACCAUAAUGGUACUAAGGGCUAAUCUAUCUAUAGGGACAAAUUUGUGGAUGAGGGCUUCAUUCUAAAGUUCACUAGCACUCAUGUUUUAUCUACGACACAGACUGUUAUCAGCUAUAUGUGUGUGUGUAUUUGUAUAUACACAUAUGUGUAUACAUACACAUAUAUGUAUACACUCACGUGCGUUUGUGUGACUAGGUGGCUAGUUCAAAAGAGAUGUGAACUUUGGAGAAACCAUGGAAUAUUUUGAUUGCAGAAUGACAAGAUCAGGAAAAAGAAGAUCACCGUUCUUGUCUGUGGUUAAUUAUCAUUAAGUUUUGUUUCUCAAAGUGUGGGUCUUAACCACCAAAUCAUUCCCCUGUAGCUAGGGAGAGAAUUCUCCCAACACUCCAGUUUGAUCUCAAACCCUAUAAUCCUUGUGCUCUCAUUUAAUGCAAUCUCUUUGGACUUCAUUUCCCCUUUUUUUCCACAUGUCAGGCUAGAAGUUAGAGUUAAGAUUAGCAUUAUGAAAUUAACAAAAAUAAAAGAUAAUCAAUGAACAAAUUCCUUAAUCAACAGUUCUCCUUUUUACUCUAGUUGCAUUGAUUUUUUUUUCAUGCAAAAGCUCUUCAAUUUCAUAUAAUAUGGAUGAUCUAUUUUAUCUUUGGAUUUCUCUUCUUUCCUUUGUUUCACAGAAAUUUCCUCCAGACAGACAUGGCUAUGAAAGAUGGUACUGUCCAUUUUCUUCCAUUUUUAAUGAUGUGAAUGUUUAUAUUUAGAUCAUUUGGUCUUUUGGGAUUCAGAGGAGGUGAGGGUGCAAUUGUUGCAGCAUUUUGGAGAUUUUUUGGACCACAUCCAAAAAGAUCCCCAUCCUAAGGGGGAUAAACCAGAGAAUAUGUGACUCUAAAGAAGGGUCUUGAGAGUAAGGAACUCUACCUGUUUGUUUCCUUAAUAUUUUUCACUGGGUAACCUUUCAAACAAUGACCUGAAUUCUUACAGUUUCUUAGGAGAAGCUCUCCAUGCUUAAUAAAGAGAGAAGAUGGGGCUACUUUCUCACUCUUUCACAAAGCCAAUGGUUUCUUCCUAUUAGAAAUAUAGAGCCAAGUGCCUAGGUUUUCCUGUCAUUAGACACUUUGGGUCCUUCUCACCUUGAAGGAUGAGGAAGGGAAGCCCUUAGCAGCCGAGCGCCAGUUAUCAUGAUGUUAUACAAGCCCAGCAUGUUGCCAAUGUUUUUAUAUAAUCCUCUAGUUCUCCCCAUAAAACAGCCCAUAACACCCUGGCAAAUAGAUUUCAAUGGAGCCGCAUGCUCUUACAGGCAUACACUGUUCUGCGGUGAUGAGUCACAUUGAUGAAAUAGCCAAGAUUAAGCUCCAACUCAACUUUUCCGUUUCUACUAUCCUCUUCCUCCCCCACCUUAGAGGAAUAGAAAAGGACAGAAGAAACACAAGCCUCAUUACGAAAUCACUUCAGAAGGAAAAUCAGGAGUUGUGUAUAUGAUGAGAAAGAGCUUAUGAAAUAAGGAUGAUGCCCUAUGCUCUCUCAAAGAGAAUUUUGGAAGACCACAUAAAGAUUUAAACAGCCCAGCAUGCAGACUGAUCCUCCGCUAACCAAUCGAUGGAAGAAAGUUCAAUGUCAUUUUAAAGCUGAGUUUAUAAUGGAUGUUUCAAGGGCCCUGAAGCUUAAAGUCACCAGUGCCAAAGUAGCCUCAUCUGGAGGCCUGCCUGCAGAUAUCGUCCUUCCCUGCUAUGAAGAGUCCAUGGGAACCAUCUCAA